Molecule: unclassified non-coding RNA, 324 nt
Filed under: fungal sp.
Lineage: Eukaryota; Fungi
Description: partial internal transcribed spacer region
Rfam family: Eukaryotic small subunit ribosomal RNA (bases 1-46)
Source: RNAcentral
AAGUCGUAACAAGGUUUCCGUAGGUGAACCUGCGGAAGGAUCAUUAACACUUUUCAUCCCUAACAUAUCUGCAGAGGAGAAGCAGAGUUCUGCUUUGUUUUUCCUCUGUAGGUUACCAACCCCUUUGUGUGCACUCGUUGAGAGGAACAUUGAGUGUGAAAACUUCGGUUUUUGUACUUGGUCAACUCCUCUUGCUUUUUUUCAACUUUUACCUUUUUUUUUACCCCUUUUCUAAUGCAAUAGACUGAAAUAAUAACCUUUUUGGAAGGGUUUAAAACAUCCAAAAGAGUAAUACAACUCUUAGCAACGGAUAUCUAGGCUCUC